Molecule: ribosomal RNA, 446 nt
Filed under: Escherichia coli
Lineage: Bacteria; Pseudomonadati; Pseudomonadota; Gammaproteobacteria; Enterobacterales; Enterobacteriaceae
Description: bacterial SSU rRNA
Rfam family: Bacterial small subunit ribosomal RNA
Source: RNAcentral
CCUACGGGUGGCAGCAGUCGAGAAUCAUUCACAAUGGGGGAAACCCUGAUGGUGCGACGCCGCGUGGGGGAGCGAAGGUCUUCGGAUUGUAAACCCCUGUCAAGUGGGAGCAAAUUAAAAAGAUAGUACCACUAGAGGAAGAGACGGCUAACUCUGUGCCAGCAGCCGCGGUAAUACAGAGGUCUCAAGCGUUGUUCGGAAUCACUGGGCGUAAAGCGUACGUAGGCGGCUUGGUAAGUCGUGUGUGAAAGGCAGGGGCUCAACCUCUGGACUGCACAUGAUACUGCCAGGCUAGAGUAAUGGAGGGGAAACCGGAAUUCUCGGUGUAGCAGUGAAAUGCGUAGAUAUCGAGAGGAACACUCGUGGCGAAGGCGGGUUUCUGGACAUUAACUGACGCUGAGGUACGAAGGCUAGGGGAGCGAAAGGGAUUAGAUACCCUGGUAGUC